RNAcentral lists this ribosomal RNA (445 nucleotides) under uncultured bacterium. RNAcentral describes it as "partial 16S ribosomal RNA". It matches the Rfam family "Bacterial small subunit ribosomal RNA", at positions 338 to 795 of the family's 1533-position model. The record is from RNAcentral.
CCUACGGGGUGCAGCAGUGGGGAAUAUUGCACAAUGGGCGAAAGCCUGAUGCAGCAACGCCGCGUGAAGGAAGAAGGGUUUCGGCUCGUAAACUUCUAUCAACAGGGACGAAAGAAAUGACGGUACCUGAAUAAGAAGCCCCGGCUAACUACGUGCCAGCAGCCGCGGUCAUACGUAGGAUCCGAGCAUUAUCCGGAGUGACUGGGUGUACAGAGUUGCGUAGGUGGGAUAGUAAGUAGCUAGUGAAAUCUGGUGGCUCAACCAUUCAGACUAUUAGCUAAACUGCUAAGCUCGAGACCGUUAGGGGUAACUGGAAUGUCUAGUGUAGGAGUGAAAUCCGUAGAUAUUAGAAGGAACACCGAUAGCGUAGGCAGGUUACUGGGACGGUUCUGACACUAAGGCACGAAAGCGUAGGGAGCAAACGGGAUUAGAUACCCUAGUAGUC